AUCCGAGUCAUUUGCCGACCGUGUUUUUGGACAGGAGCACAACACAUUCCAUCCAACCCUGUAGGCUACUUUCCCUAAUCAUGUGUCUCUAUAUAGUCGCCGACACCGGAAACAGCUGUGUAUCCUAUUAUUCCUAGCACUUGGAUAACUAAGUUUUGGCAUUUUAAAGGUGGAUCAGUGUAAUAGUCUAUAUAAAAAAAUCUGUAUGAAAAAACACAUUUUUCACAACAACCGGCUGGAUGAUGCUGUGCAUGUGUGCGUAAAGUCUACAUUUUCUUCUGAACUUGGCGAUAAACGUCAGCUAUUCAAGCACUGCUGUGCGGGGAAACGAGCCUGGCGUUCGAUUGCUGCAGCUGCGGAGGGGAUGGUAUGUGAGGUGUGUGUCAAGGCGAUACAGGGAGGACUGUUAACCAUGUGCUACAGUGGCUAGGGUUCCCCAUCAUUCCCAGGGCCUCCCAUCACUGUCUUUCUGUCUGUGGUGCCACCCAUCACUGGCUGAGGAGGAGAGGGCCUCCCAUCACUGGCAGAGGAGGAGAGGGCCUCCCAUCACUGGCAGAGGAAGGAGAGGGCCACCCAUCACUGGCUGAGGAGGAGAGGGCCACCCAUCACUGGCUGAG
This is a long non-coding RNA of Oncorhynchus tshawytscha (Chinook salmon), 617 nucleotides long. Lineage: Eukaryota; Metazoa; Chordata; Actinopteri; Salmoniformes; Salmonidae. The record is from Ensembl.